ACAUCCAGAGAACUUAGCAGAGAUGCUUUGGUGCCUUCGGGAACUCUGAGACAGGUGCUGCAUGGCUGUCGUCAGCUCGUGUUGUGAAAUGUUGGGUUAAGUCCCGNAACGAGCGCAACCCUUAUCCUUUGUUGCCAGCGGCUCGGCCGGGAACUCAAAGGAGACUGCCGGUGAUAAACCGGAGGAAGGUGGGGAUGACGUCAAGUCAUCAUGGCCCUUACGGCCAGGGCUACACACGUGCUACAAUGGCGCAUACAAAGAGAAGCGACCUCGCGAGAGCAAGCGGACCUCAUAAAGUGCGUCGUAGUCCGGAUUGGGGUCUGCAACUCGACUCCAUGAAGUCGGAAUCGCUAGUAAUCGUAGAUCAGAAUGCUACGGUGAAUACGUUCCCGGGCCUUGUACACACCGCCCGUCACACCAUGGGAGUGGGUUGCAAAAGAAGUAGGUAGCUUAACCUUCGGGAGGGCGCUUACCACUUUGUGAUUCAUGACUGGGGUGAAGUCGUAACAAGGUAGGCGUAGCGAG
Molecule: ribosomal RNA, 525 nt
Filed under: uncultured bacterium
Lineage: Bacteria
Description: bacterial SSU rRNA
Rfam family: Bacterial small subunit ribosomal RNA
Source: RNAcentral